AUUGAACGCUGGCGGCAGGCCUAACACAUGCAAGUCGAGCGGAUGAAGGGAGCUUGCUCCUGGAUUCAGCGGCGGACGGGUGAGUAAUGCCUAGGAAUCUGCCUGGUAGUGGGGGAUAACGUCCGGAAACGGGCGCUAAUACCGCAUACGUCCUGAGGGAGAAAGUGGGGGAUCUUCGGACCUCACGCUAUCAGAUGAGCCUAGGUCGGAUUAGCUAGUUGGUGGGGUAAAGGCCUACCAAGGCGACGAUCCGUAACUGGUCUGAGAGGAUGAUCAGUCACACUGGAACUGAGACACGGUCCAGACUCCUACGGGAGGCAGCAGUGGGGAAUAUUGGACGAUGGGCGAAAGCCUGAUCCAGCCAUGCCGCGUGUGUGAAGAAGGUCUUCGGAUUGUAAAGCACUUUAAGUUGGGAGGAAGGGCAGUAAGUUAAUACCUUGCUGUUUUGACGUGACCAACAGAAUAAGCACCGGCUAACUUCGUG
RNAcentral lists this ribosomal RNA (484 nucleotides) under uncultured bacterium. Its description in RNAcentral is "partial 16S ribosomal RNA". It matches the Rfam family "Bacterial small subunit ribosomal RNA", at positions 30 to 507 of the family's 1533-position model. The record is from RNAcentral.